CCUACGGGUGGCAGCAGUGGGGAAUAUUGCACAAUGGGCGCAAGCCUGAUGCAGCGACGCCGCGUGCGGGAUGGAGGCCUUCGGGUUGUAAACCGCUUUUGUUAAAGGGCAAGGAACGGUCGUUGGCCGGGUUGCGUGGAGAGUUCGAAUAAGCAGAGACUAACUACGUGCAAGCAGCCGCGGUAAGCCGUAGGGUGCAAGCGUUAGCCGGAUUUAUGGGGCGUAAGGGGCGCGUAGGCGGUUCGUCGCGUCCGGUGUGAAAGUCCAUCGCUUAACGGUGGAUCCGCGCCGGGUACGGGCGGGCUUGAGUGCGGUAGGGGAGACUGGAAUUCCCGGUGUAACGGUGGAAUGUGUAGAUAUCGGGAAGAACACCAAUGGCGAAGGCAGGUCUCUGGGCCGUUACUGACGCUGAGGAGCGAAAGCGUGGGGAGCGAACAGGAUUAGAUACCCUUGUAGUC
RNAcentral lists this ribosomal RNA (458 nucleotides) under uncultured bacterium. RNAcentral describes it as "partial 16S ribosomal RNA". It matches the Rfam family "Bacterial small subunit ribosomal RNA", at positions 338 to 795 of the family's 1533-position model. The record is from RNAcentral.